Aotus nancymaae (Ma's night monkey) is the source of this 60-nucleotide small nuclear RNA. Its record names the gene U7. It matches the Rfam family "U7 small nuclear RNA". From Rfam's summary of the family: Animal histone pre-mRNAs are spliced by a different mechanism than nuclear pre-mRNAs and self-splicing introns. This processing involves the U7 snRNP, which contains only one RNA species: U7. NCBI's taxonomy places the organism in Eukaryota, Metazoa, Chordata, Mammalia, Primates, Aotidae. The record is from Ensembl.
GCAUGUUACAGCUCUUUUAGAAUUUUUCUGGCAGGCUUGUGGUCUUUAUUGAAAGCCCAU